ACAGGUGCUGCAUGGCUGUCGUCAGCUCGUGUCGUGAGAUGUUGGGUUAAGUCCCGCAACGAGCGCAAUCCUUGUCACUAGUUGCUACGGUAACGGGCACUCUAGUGAGACUGCCGGUGACAAACCGGAGGAAGGUGGGGAUGACGUCAAGUCAUCAUGCCCCUUAUGUCCAGGGCUUCACGCAUGCUACAAUGGCCGGUACAAAGGGCUGCGAAACCGCAAGGUGGAGCGAAUCCCAAAAAGCCGGUCUCAGUUCGGAUUGGGGUCUGCAACUCGACCCCAUGAAGUCGGAGUCGCUAGUAAUCGCAGAUCAGCAACGCUGCGGUGAAUACGUUCCCGGGCCUUGUACACACCGCCCGUCACGUCACGAAAGUCGGCAACACCCGAAGCCGGUGGCCCAACCCUUGUGGAGGGAGCCGUCGAAGGUGGGGCUGGCGAUUGGGACG
This 446-nucleotide ribosomal RNA is filed under the name uncultured bacterium. Its description in RNAcentral is "bacterial SSU rRNA". It matches the Rfam family "Bacterial small subunit ribosomal RNA", at positions 1034 to 1482 of the family's 1533-position model. The record is from RNAcentral.